This 449-nucleotide ribosomal RNA is filed under the name uncultured bacterium. Its description in RNAcentral is "partial 16S ribosomal RNA". It matches the Rfam family "Bacterial small subunit ribosomal RNA", at positions 354 to 796 of the family's 1533-position model. The record is from RNAcentral.
GUGGGGAAUCUUCCACAAUGGACGAAAGUCUGAUGGAGCAACGCCGCGUGAGUGAAGAAGGGUUUCGGCUCGUAAAGCUCUGUUGUCGGGGACGAAUGUGCAGUAUUUGAAUAAAGUACUGUAAUGACGGUACCUGACGAGGAAGCCACGGCUAACUACGUGCCAGCAGCCGCGGUAAUACGUAGGUGGCAAGCGUUGUCCGGAAUUAUUGGGCGUAAAGGGAGCGCAGGAGGGAAGGUAAGUCGGUCUUAAAAGUGCGGGCUCAACCCCGUGAUGGGAUCGAAACUAUCUUUCUUGAGUGCAGGAGAGGAAAGUGGAAUUCCUAGUGUAGCGGUGAAAUGCGUAGAUAUUAGGAGGAACACCAGUGGCGAAGGCGACUUUCUGGACUGUAACUGACGCUGAGGCUCGAAAGCCAGGGGAGCGAACGGGAUUAGAAACCCUGGUAGUCC